Molecule: unclassified non-coding RNA, 224 nt
Filed under: plant metagenome
Description: partial contains small subunit ribosomal RNA, internal transcribed spacer 1, and 5.8S ribosomal RNA
Source: RNAcentral
UUUCCCUAGGUGAACCUGCGGAAGGAUCAUUAAAGAAUGCCCCGUUUUUCGAAAUGGGUUCUAUUCCCAAACCGUGUCUACAUACCUUUGUUGCUUUGGCGGGCCGCCUUCGGGCGUUGGCCUCGGCUAACUGUGCCCGCCAGGGGACCCAAACUCGUUUUGUUUAGUGAUGUCUGAGUACUACAAAAUAGUUAAAACUUUCAACAACGGAUCUCUUGGUUCUG